AUCCAGCUGACGAGUGCCAAAUAGGACGAAACNCACGUCCUGGAU
Molecule: non-coding RNA, 45 nt
Filed under: Schistosoma margrebowiei
Lineage: Eukaryota; Metazoa; Platyhelminthes; Trematoda; Strigeidida; Schistosomatidae
Source: RNAcentral